GCUCCUAUAGUUCAACUGGAUAGAACAAGGGCGUCCUAAGCCCAAGAUCUAGGUUCGAGUCCUAGUAGGAGUA
RNAcentral lists this transfer RNA (73 nucleotides) under Candidatus Dojkabacteria bacterium. Its description in RNAcentral is "tRNA-Arg". It matches the Rfam family "tRNA". Rfam says of the family: Transfer RNA (tRNA) molecules are approximately 80 nucleotides in length. Their secondary structure includes four short double-helical elements and three loops (D, anti-codon, and T loops). The record is from RNAcentral.